This 232-nucleotide unclassified non-coding RNA is filed under the name Hevea brasiliensis (rubber tree). The record is from RNAcentral. Lineage: Eukaryota; Viridiplantae; Streptophyta; Magnoliopsida; Malpighiales; Euphorbiaceae.
GAAAGGGGUGAGGGCCGUAGCAGCCAUACUUGGGGGUGCUAUGCUAGCAAUCUUUCUUGUCAAAGCGGCAGGUAUUUCCUGUAAGUUCCACUUUUCAGGAAAUACCUUCGAUAAUAUAUAUUUCAGGUGUCGCUACCCGAAAGAAAAAGAAAAAGAAAUAUAUUAUUAUAAGAUUGAAUCGCCAAGGAAUAAAUAUAAGCAAUCAGUCUUUGAAUUAUUGAAAAAUGCCAUC